GAGUUUGAUCCUGGCUCAGGACGAACGCUGGCGGCGUGCUUAACACAUGCGAGUCAGGGAGAAAUUUCGAGCUUGCUCGAAAGAGUAAACCGGCGGACGGGUGAGUAACACGUAGGUAACCUGCCCUUGGGAUCGGGAUAACCUUGCUAACGCGGGGCUAAUACCGGAUAAUGCAGCGGAUUCGCAUGAAUAUGUUGUUAAAGCGGGCUUCGGCUCGCACCUAAGGAUGGACCUGCGCCCCAUUAGCUAGUUGGUGAGGUAACGGCUCACCAAGGCAACGAUGGGUAGCCGGCCUGAGAGGGUGAACGGCCACACUGGGACUGAGAUACGGCCCAGACUCCUACGGGAGGCAGCAGUGAGGAAUAUUGGGCAAUGGCCGAAAGGCUGACCCAGCAACGCCGCGUGAGGGAUGAAGCUCUAAGGAGUGUAAACCUCUUUCGGGAGGGAAGAACUCCUCUGAAGUGAAUAAUUUCAGAGGCUGACGGUACCUCUCAGAGAAGCCCCGGCUAACUCCGUGCCAGCAGCCGCGGUAAUACGGGGGGGGCAAGCGUUGUCCGGAAUUAUUGGGCGUAAAGGGCGCGUAGGCGGAAUGGUAAGUCAGGGGUGCAAAUCCUGAGCUCAACUCAGGACCUGCCCUUGAUACUGCCGUUCUUGAGUGCGAGAGAGGAAAGUGGAAUUCCCGGGGUAGCGGGUGAAAUGCGUAUAUAUCGGGGAAGAACACCGGUAGCGAAGGCGGCUUUUCGGCUCGCAACUUGAGGCUGGAGGCGCGAAAGCGUGGGGAGCAAACAGGAUUAGAUACCCUGGUAGUCCACGCCGUAAACGAUGGGCACUAGGUGUUGGCGGAUUCGACCCCGUCAGUGCCGUAGCUAACGCAUUAAGUGCCCCGCCUGGGGAGUACGACCGCAAGGUUGAAACUCAAAGGAAUUGACGGGGGCCCGCACAAGCGGUGGAGCAUGUGGUUUAAUUCGAUGCAACGCGAAGAACCUUACCUGGGCUUGACAUGUUGCUGGUACCAACCUGAAAGGGAAGGGACCUCUAGCUUGCUAGAGGAGGUAACACAGGUGCUGCAUGGCUGUCGUCAGCUCGUGUCGUGAGAUGUUGGGUUAAGUCCCGCAACGAGCGCAACCCUUGUCCCUAGUUGCCAUCAGGUUAUGCUGGGAACUCUAGGGAGACUGCCGGUGAUAAGCCGGAGGAAGGUGGGGAUGACGUCAAGUCCUCAUGGCCCUUAUGCCCAGGGCUACACACGUGCUACAAUGGUCGGUACAGCGGGGGGCGAAGCCGCGAGGUGGAGCAAAUCCCUCAAAACCGGUCUCAGUUCGGAUUGCAGUCUGCAACUCGACUGCAUGAAGUCGGAAUCGCUAGUAAUCGCGGAUCAGCAUUCCGCGGUGAAUACGUUCCCGGGCCUUGUACACACCGCCCGUCACGCCAUGGAAGUCGGUAGCACCCAAUGUCGCUGGCCCAACCCUCGGGAGGGAGGCGCCUAAGGUGAGAUCGAUGACUGGGGCGAAGUCGUAACAAGGUAUCC
RNAcentral lists this ribosomal RNA (1525 nucleotides) under uncultured bacterium. Its description in RNAcentral is "bacterial SSU rRNA". It matches the Rfam family "Bacterial small subunit ribosomal RNA". The record is from RNAcentral.